RNAcentral lists this ribosomal RNA (222 nucleotides) under uncultured bacterium. Its description in RNAcentral is "partial 16S ribosomal RNA". It matches the Rfam family "Bacterial small subunit ribosomal RNA", at positions 57 to 305 of the family's 1533-position model. The record is from RNAcentral.
GCAAGUCGAGCGCAGUCCUUCGGGACCGAGCGGCGGACGGGUUAGUAACGCGUGGGAACGUACCCUUUUCUACGGAAUAGCCUCGGGAAACUGAGAGUAAUACCGUAUAAGCCCUUCGGGGGAAAGAUUUAUCGGGAGAGGAUCGGCCCGCGUUAGAUUAGAUAGUUGGUGGGGUAACGGCCUACCAAGCCUACGAUCCAUAGCUGGUUUGAGAGGAUGAUC